UAGGGAAUCUUCGGCAAUGGGGGGAACCCUGACCGAGCAACGCCGCGUGAGUGAAGAAGGUUUUCGGAUCGUAAAGCUCUGUUGUUAAGGAAGAACGAGUGUGAGAAUGGAAAGUUCAUACUGUGACGGUACUUAACCAGAAAGGGACGGCUAACUACGUGCCAGCAGCCGCGGUAAUACGUAGGUCCCGAGCGUUGUCCGGAUUUAUUGGGCGUAAAGCGAGCGCAGGCGGUUAGAUAAGUCUGAAGUUAAAGGCAGUGGCUCAACCAUUGUAGGCUUUGGAAACUGUUUAACUUGAGUGCAGAAGGGGAGAGUGGAAUUCCAUGUGUAGCGGUGAAAUGCGUAGAUAAAUGGAGGAACACCGGUAGCGAAAGCGGCUCUCUGGUCUGUAACUGACGCUGAGGCUCGAAAGCGUGGGUAGCAAACAGG
RNAcentral lists this ribosomal RNA (429 nucleotides) under Bacteroidota bacterium. RNAcentral describes it as "Bacteroidetes bacterium partial 16S ribosomal RNA". It matches the Rfam family "Bacterial small subunit ribosomal RNA", at positions 355 to 776 of the family's 1533-position model. Lineage: Bacteria; Pseudomonadati; Bacteroidota. The record is from RNAcentral.